Molecule: ribosomal RNA, 277 nt
Filed under: uncultured bacterium
Lineage: Bacteria
Description: partial 16S ribosomal RNA
Rfam family: Bacterial small subunit ribosomal RNA
Source: RNAcentral
GACGAACGCUUGCGACGUGCCUAAGAAAUGCAAGUCGAACGGGGUAGCAAUACCUAGUGGCGAACGGUCGCGUAACACGUGGGCAACCUGCCCCAGAGCGGGGGAUAACAGGCCGAAAGGUUUGCUAAUACCGCAUGUGGACUUCGUCGGCAUCGACGUGUGUCUAAAGAUUUAUCACUCUGGGAUGGGCCCGCGGCCUAUCAGCUAGUUGGUGGGGUAACGGCCUACCAAGGCUUCGACGGGUAGCUGGUCUGAGAGGACGAUCAGCCGGAUUGGG